CUAUUCGAGCGUCAUUACAACCCUCAAGCUAUGCUUGGUAUUCGGUUCUACCUGCAAAGGUAGUCCGUAAAAUCAGUAGCGGUGCUAUUUAGCUCCAGGCGCAGUAAAUAUCUCGCCUCGGAUGUCUAGAUGCGUGCCUGCUAGAAAUCUCUUUUUAACAGGUUGACCUCGGAUUAGGUAGGGAUACCCGCUGAACUUAA
This 200-nucleotide unclassified non-coding RNA is filed under the name soil metagenome. Its description in RNAcentral is "partial contains internal transcribed spacer 2 and large subunit ribosomal RNA". The record is from RNAcentral.